RNAcentral lists this transfer RNA (360 nucleotides) under uncultured Microcystis sp. RNAcentral describes it as "partial 16S-23S ribosomal RNA intergenic spacer". The stretch from base 134 to 207 matches the Rfam family "tRNA". Lineage: Bacteria; Bacillati; Cyanobacteriota; Cyanophyceae; Chroococcales; Microcystaceae. The record is from RNAcentral.
AAAGGGAGACCUAAUUCGGGUAUAAGACGAAAAAAAAGUAGUCCCUACCAAGAAUCAAUCCCAAAAGGUCGGAACGAGGUAUGAGGCUUUCAAACUAGGUUCUGGGUUCAUAAAAGACCUGAAUCAGGAACAAGGGCUAUUAGCUCAGGUGGUUAGAGCGCACCCCUGAUAAGGGUGAGGUCCCUGGUUCGAGUCCAGGAUGGCCCACCUGCACAGGUGGCAAAAACAAGAGAAGCGAGGAAUCAGCACCUUAUCUUGUAUACAUAUAUAAGAGAGAAUGCUGGCUCUGAGUACAGAGUCCAGAGGAACCUUGAAAACUGCAUAGAGCUAGGUGAAAAAGCCAAAAAAGAAGACCGCAAG